CUGCUCCCACUCCGCCCGAGACUGAGCGGCGGCUGGUAAUGGCAGUUCAUAGUCUCCGUGGAGCCGUCGCAACACAGUUAGCAAAGCACUUGCACCUUCCUUUAGACCCGGGCUGCAAGGCGCGCGCGCGGCGCCCUCACUACUGACCGCAUUCCCACGAAGCAAUUGCAUUCGCUCCCACCGUGUCAAUUUUCAUCCCUGUCCCGAGAGCCAAAUCGAAUUUCAUUCAUUUUAUUCCAUCUCCGCUCCACUUUUCAGCUGUGUAACCUUAGGAAAGUUCCUGAGCGUCAACUGUUGAGUCUCUGAGCUUCAGUGUUCUCCAUUUCUUCAUUUCUGUAAAGUGAACAUGAGAGAGAGAAUACCAAGUAGACUCCUUGCUGAGCCCAUCAAGGGGCUGGAUCCUAGAACCAUGAGAUCAUGGCCUGAGCAGAAACCACGAGUUGGGCACUCCACCAAGAGUGGAUGCUCUACUGACUGCCCUACCACCAGUCAUCCAGAAUGGGAAAAGGCUACAUGAUUCCCAGGGGACACAGCCGCAAAACAGGUGAUUUGGAUCUGAAGAAAAUCAAAGUGAAAAGCUCUCACCACUAAAAACAAGCAAAUGAAAGAAUCGAAAAUUCUGGCCAAAAAGUGUCACAUAUGUGGACAUGUUGCCUUAAGGAUUUGGAUGCAGUAGAAAACGAUAAGAUAUAGUGUUUUAUUUAUUUUGCAAAGGUAAUAAAUAUAUUUCUUCUUAAUUCUAAUAUGAGCAAAGAACUCUCUUUUUCAUCUUCAUUAGUCAUCGUUUUAAUCUUUAUAUAAGAAUGGUUAAAAGUGCAAUCCCUGAAAUCAGAUCCCUGUUAUGAAUAAGUUACUUGACCUCUUUGAGCUGCAGAUUCCUCUUAAUAAUAUCCUUCGUAUGUUGUUGAGAGGAUUGAAUGAAAUAAAGCAAGGCAUAUAACACGGGUUCUAACCACAUAGCAUACAGUACUGUUUUUAUUAUCCCUGCUACAUAAACAUUAGCAGAAUAUUUGACACCUGGUAGGAUCUCACCAACUAUGGAUCUCACCAACUAGGAUCUCAUAACAACUAUGAUGUUGAUGUUGAUGACAGUGGUGUCGUGCAGGGGGUGGGGGGGCAGGUCAUGAUAACAAGAACUAACAUUUAUCUAGCACUUACCAUGCAUCAAAUACUGUUCUUCGUGAUUUUGUGUAUAGUGAUUCAUUAAUCUUCCCAACAACACUGUGGAGAAGGUAAUAUUGUUUUUUCUUUUCUAAGAUUUUAUUUAUUUAUUUGCAAGAGAGAGAGAG
This is a long non-coding RNA of Mustela erminea (ermine), 1289 nucleotides long. RefSeq lists it as uncharacterized. Lineage: Eukaryota; Metazoa; Chordata; Mammalia; Carnivora; Mustelidae. The record is from RefSeq and is a predicted model, not a curated record. The transcript is spliced from 3 exons.